Cynara cardunculus var. scolymus (artichoke) is the source of this 719-nucleotide long non-coding RNA. RefSeq lists it as uncharacterized. The transcript has 3 exons. NCBI's taxonomy places the organism in Eukaryota, Viridiplantae, Streptophyta, Magnoliopsida, Asterales, Asteraceae. The record is from RefSeq and is a predicted model, not a curated record.
CGAGUAAGUAGCAACGAUGAACGGGAGAAAUCGAUUGAACGAGAGCGAUUGAGCGAACCAGACGCCUCGAUCUCCUAUCUCCUCUCUAUCUUGUCGAUUGAAUUCUCCAAAGAUGGAUAAUGAUUCGGUUUCAGAUUUGUAACGACAACAAAAACAACAUGUAACAGGCCUCCAAAAAGAUUGGGACGACCCUGAUGUGGAGUUUCUAGUUUAGUUAAUAUGAAUACAUAACCUGCACCCGUGUAUUUCCGGUAUAUUAAUUCGAAAAACAAUCAUCUAAUUCCACCAAAAAGAGGGGAUCAUAUCCCAAAGUGAAUUGCGAUUACACUAGAGCAGUUUUCUUCAUAAAUCCUCUUACCAAAAUCGAAGAUACAGUUUUUUCGACAAUGAAUCACCCACAUAGAGUAAGGAAACCAAGCAAACGCAUAAUGAUCAAGACUUCAUUUUCGAUUCAAAAACAUGGGUGACAACUCAGUGUUGUUAGACGACCAUUGUGAAUCAGAUAAUGAGAACCCGAUUAAGAGAAUCAGCCGGAACUAGUGAACGAGAAAAGGAUUCAGGAGGUAUGUAUUUGAAAUUAGGGUUCGAGAAAGUUAUGAUUUAAAUGGAAACUCGAAAAUUCAUUACAUGCAGGUGAAAAAACUUAGUAAUGUUAUAAUAAAUUUUGUAGUAAUGCUAUAUUUGUGUGGGUUAUUUGGGAUGAUUGAGAGGCAUGUUUC